GCCCGCCUAGCUCAAUCGGAUAGAGCGUCAGACUCUUACUCCGUACCCCUAGUAUUUCACUCGAAAUACUCAGGCACCGGCAGGCGUAUCUGAAGGCUGCGAGUUCGACCCUCGCGGUGGGCU
Non-coding RNA from Sphagnurus paluster, 123 nucleotides. NCBI's taxonomy places the organism in Eukaryota, Fungi, Basidiomycota, Agaricomycetes, Agaricales, Lyophyllaceae. The record is from the annotation of a GenBank genome assembly.